RNAcentral lists this ribosomal RNA (818 nucleotides) under Ruminococcus bromii. RNAcentral describes it as "bacterial SSU rRNA". It matches the Rfam family "Bacterial small subunit ribosomal RNA", at positions 1 to 813 of the family's 1533-position model. The record is from RNAcentral. Lineage: Bacteria; Bacillati; Bacillota; Clostridia; Eubacteriales; Oscillospiraceae.
AAAUUUUAGAGAGUUUGAUCCUGGCUCAGGACGAACGCUGGCGGCGUGCCUAACACAUGCAAGUCGAACGGAACUUCUUUAAUUGAUUUCUUCGGAAUGAUUUUGAUUAAGUUUAGUGGCGGACGGGUGAGUAACGCGUGAGUAACCUGCCUCUAAGAGGGGAAUAACAUUCUGAAAAGAAUGCUAAUACCGCAUAAUAUAUAUUUAUCGCAUGGUAGAUAUAUCAAAGAUUUAUCGCUUAGAGAUGGACUCGCGUCCGAUUAGUUAGUUGGUGAGGUAACGGCUCACCAAGACCGCGAUCGGUAGCCGGACUGAGAGGUUGAACGGCCACAUUGGGACUGAGACACGGCCCAGACUCCUACGGGAGGCAGCAGUGGGGGAUAUUGCGCAAUGGGGGAAACCCUGACGCAGCAACGCCGCGUGAAGGAUGAAGGUCUUCGGAUUGUAAACUUCUUUUAUUAAGGACGAAGAAAGUGACGGUACUUAAUGAAUAAGCUCCGGCUAACUACGUGCCAGCAGCCGCGGUAAUACGUAGGGAGCAAGCGUUGUCCGGAUUUACUGGGUGUAAAGGGUGCGUAGGCGGCUUUGCAAGUCAGAUGUGAAAUCUAUGGGCUCAACCCAUAGCCUGCAUUUGAAACUGCAGAGCUUGAGUGAAGUAGAGGCAGGCGGAAUUCCCCGUGUAGCGGUGAAAUGCGUAGAGAUGGGGAGGAACACCAGUGGCGAAGGCGGCCUGCUGGGCUUUAACUGACGCUGAGGCACGAAAGCGUGGGUAGCAAACAGGAUUAGAUACCCUGGUAGUCCACGCUGUAAACGAUGAU